This 544-nucleotide ribosomal RNA is filed under the name Amblystira pallipes. RNAcentral's name for it is "partial 28S ribosomal RNA". It matches the Rfam family "Eukaryotic large subunit ribosomal RNA", at positions 675 to 1139 of the family's 3401-position model. Lineage: Eukaryota; Metazoa; Arthropoda; Insecta; Hemiptera; Tingidae. The record is from RNAcentral.
AUUAUCGUGCUCCGAGUCAUUGGGUGUUACAAAACCUAAAGGCGAAAUAAAAGUGAAGAGGGCUCAUUUUUGACUCUUSAGGGAGGAUGAGCUACUGCUCUGGUCRUUCUUAACCUGASRGSUGACCKUGUMUCCGCACUCCCGGGGSGGCUCUUUCUCAUUGCAAGUGGAGGCCCACCAAAAUCGAGCACGCUGAAACCCGAGAGAURGUKAACUAUGCCUGGCCNGGACGAAGCCAGGGGAAACCCUGGUGGAGGUCCKCAKCGAUUCUGACGUGCAAAUCCAUCGUCRGAGCUGGGUAUAGGGGCUAAAGACCAAUCUAACCAUCUAAUAGCUUGUUCCCUCUGAAGUUUCCCUCAAGAYAGCUUGSCCUCUGAUGUGAAGAGUCUCAUYCNGUAAAGCUAAUGAUUAUAAGCCNUGGGGUUUGAACGACCUUUCCUAUUUUCAAACUCCMAAUACAUUAAAACCCCNGSNKNGAUGAAGAUUGCAUAAAUAUUUCUGAAGCCGCGGGACUCGGAUCAGAGUGCCAAGUGGGCCAAUUUUU